RNAcentral lists this transfer RNA (86 nucleotides) under Chloroflexota bacterium. Its description in RNAcentral is "Chloroflexi bacterium (bioreactor metagenome) tRNA-Leu". It matches the Rfam family "tRNA". Rfam says of the family: Transfer RNA (tRNA) molecules are approximately 80 nucleotides in length. Lineage: Bacteria; Bacillati; Chloroflexota. The record is from RNAcentral.
GCCCGCGUGGCGGAAUUGGUAUACGCGGCAGGUUGAGGGCCUGUGUCCUUACGGACGUGGAGGUUCGAGUCCUCUCCUGGGCACCA